RNAcentral lists this microRNA precursor (168 nucleotides) under Pelobates cultripes (western spadefoot toad). The record is from RNAcentral. Lineage: Eukaryota; Metazoa; Chordata; Amphibia; Anura; Pelobatidae.
GCAGACACAUUCCAGCCAAUCAGCAGCAGACCCUCCCUCCCAGACCCUCCCACCUCCUGGACAGCAUCCACUUUACAUUCAUUGUGAAGCUGCAUUCUUAGUGAGCUGUCCAGGAGGUGGGAGGGUCUGGGAGGGAGGGUCUGCUGCUGAUUGGCUGGAAUGUGUCUG